This 338-nucleotide long non-coding RNA is filed under the name Bos taurus (domestic cattle). RNAcentral's name for it is "long non-coding RNA NONBTAT001044". The record is from RNAcentral. Lineage: Eukaryota; Metazoa; Chordata; Mammalia; Artiodactyla; Bovidae.
UUUGGUGACAAUGAAGAAUGGGUGAGAUAAACAGCACAGCUGAGGCAUAUUGCAUUUGCAGAUUUAAGGCUCAUUAAAAAUUCACUUUAGACAACAAUAUAAAGAAAUGUGACUUUUCAUAGAUUUCCAUGAGUCAAAGUGUCUGGAAAGGCAGCCUAAAAGACAGAAAGGAGUCAAUGUAAACAUGAAUGGAAGAGAAUGAUUGGUACAGCCACAAGUGUGUGGUAUUAGAAGCAAAUUUAAACUGUACUUAAAAAGAUAAUCACAAAUGAAUGGAUGAAUUUUACUAGAAAAUCAGUAAAAACUAAAUAAUUUAAAAUUUUCCCAUUCUUAAGUAA